This 1507-nucleotide long non-coding RNA is filed under the name Citrus sinensis (sweet orange). Its description in RNAcentral is "long non-coding RNA (CSIN_LNC001104)". The record is from RNAcentral. Lineage: Eukaryota; Viridiplantae; Streptophyta; Magnoliopsida; Sapindales; Rutaceae.
AGUAAAAAAUUCUAGAUUAAUCUAGAUUCUUCUUAUUCAUUUCCCCUCUUCUUUUCUCAUGCUCCAAACAGUUUAUCGACUCCAAUAUAAAUUUACGUUGAUUUUGGGUGUCCUGGAGAAGAGUGGUGAGACCAAGGAUUUAGCUGCCGGCGAUGGACCGUAUAACCUACCUCAAUUGUUCUUGUGUUAGGUUUGAAAUUAACUAUUCACUAAAGAAGAGCGGAAGGAGGAUGUUCAAGUCUGAACUGUUUCAAAUUGGGGAUGUCUUGAACGUUAGGACCUCCAGGCUGUUGAUGCAUUUCCAAAACUGUUAAUUAGCUAUCGAAGAAAUUGCUGCCUCAACAGGCAUGAUGCUAAGGUGCUAAAAUCCUCGUCCCAAUCUCUUACAUCAUUUAUAUUAUGAUUCUUUAUUCUAAACUGGAGAAUCUUCCAUAGGUUUGUAAAAAAAGAUCGGUAAUUUUCGUUUACUUGCUUCUGCAGAGUAGCUGUCUUGGCUGGAAUUUCGUUUCCGUUUCCAUUGUUCGAGCACAAACAGAAAUAGUGCUCUGCGAAAAGUUUUCUAUAAUUCUUGGUAGUAACAAAACUACUCUACUUCUUGUUGUUAUUACGGCUUAAAUUUGUGUUAUUUUCACAAUAUUUCUUUGAAUUGUUGUUGCUCUCGUUUAAGAUAUAACACCAUUUUCAUCAUAUUUCUUUUAGCAGUGAGAUUGAUGAGACAGGACAAUGAUUGGACACUUUUAGCUUCUUCUACUUUUAUUAGUGCAUUAGGUGCUAUCCACUAAUAACCGCAAGUUUGAUUACAAUACUGCUACUAGCUAGAAAAUGAGGAUUUACUUUUAUAUGUUGUUCUGUAAUUAAUUCCAAACUCUAUGUUAAACCUUUGAGCAAACUUAAUAAUGUCUUCAAUUUCAGAUGAUAAGAUGUUCUCUGAAGCAAGCAAAAUUUUUCGCGAGGAUUUUCCUCACAUCAGAUGAAAUGACUUUUGACAUCAAGGAACAUGAACCUGUGGCUCUUGGAAAACCCCAUGGUAGUUAGUUAAGGAUUUGAACAUCAACUAUAAGUCAACUAUAAGUUCUUUACUAUUUUGACUCUAAACUCUAAAGAUUAAACUUUAGUGACCUUGUUUUCGGUUGUCUAUGUAUACUUAGGUUUGUUGAAACAAAUACUUAACGAAACGGUGGGAACGCAUUUAGACGUGGUGCAUGUUGAAAUUGGAAGCCAUGGCAAAUUUUUUGAAUACACAUUGAUAAUUUAGUUAACAAACUUUACACGGCUCUAAUGCAUGCAAGUACAAAAGCCGCCAUCCAUGCAGUGAGGUGGUUGCAAAUUAACAAUGGAUUCACAUGGGGCCUUUGGCAUUAUGGAAAGAUGGCUUCUCGCCUCAUUUGUCAAGAUUUGCACAUAGAAAUGGCGGCCAUCUCGGGGGAUUUUAUGCCGAAAUUGUUGAUUUUGAAAGGCUUGCAUCUUAUAAUUACAUUGUGAAUAGAGUUCUCGGUUUGAUAGCUAA